GACGAACGCUGGCGGCGCGCUUAACACAUGCAAGUCGAACGGAAAGGCCUGCUUUCCCUUGUGGAUUGCGGGUACUCGAGUGGCGAACGGGUGAGUAACACGUGAGUGAUCUGCCCCCAACUUGGGUAUAAGCCUGGGAAACUGGGUCUAAUUCCCGAUAGGACUGCAGGGUGGUGCCUGUGGUGGAAAACGAUUUUCUAGUGGUUGGGGAUGAGCUCGCGGCCUAUCAGCUUGUUGGUGGGGUAAUGGCCUACCAAGGCGGCGACGGGUAGCCGGCCUGGGAGGGUGGACGGGCGCAUUGGGACUGAGAUACGGCCCAGACUCCUACGGGAGGCAGCAGUGGGGAAUAUUGCACAAUGGGCGGAAGCCUGAUGCAGCGACGCCGCGUGGGGGAUGACGGCCUUCGGGUUGUAAACUCCUUUCGACCGCGAGGAAGCCACCUGGUUGGAAGGGUGGUGACGGUAGUGGUAGAAGAAGCACCGGCUAACUACGUG
RNAcentral lists this ribosomal RNA (494 nucleotides) under uncultured bacterium. Its description in RNAcentral is "partial 16S ribosomal RNA". It matches the Rfam family "Bacterial small subunit ribosomal RNA", at positions 28 to 507 of the family's 1533-position model. The record is from RNAcentral.